AGUAUCGGGAAGUCUGGGACCCCUCUGGGGUGACCGUGAGUCUCGGCUAUUUCCUGGGGGCUGUGGCAGACAUUCAGACCCGCGUGCCCCGGGCCAGGCAUCUGGCCAUCGCCACUGCUGUGCACCAGCAGCUCUGCGAUGAGAUGGAGCCGCCCAGCCCAGAGCACAGAGCAGAGCUGUGCCGCUGCAUGGUGCUGCAGGCCCGAAUUUGCCCGGAGGAGACCAUCGAGUUCCUCUACUACAAGCUGAGGAACGGGAGCAAGGCCGAUCGCGUGGCAGCCGUGGCAGUGCUGCAAGCUCUGGUCCGCU
Long non-coding RNA from Dromaius novaehollandiae (emu), 309 nucleotides. RefSeq lists it as uncharacterized. The transcript is spliced from 4 exons. Lineage: Eukaryota; Metazoa; Chordata; Aves; Casuariiformes; Dromaiidae. The record is from RefSeq and is a predicted model, not a curated record.